This is a non-coding RNA of Candidatus Aenigmarchaeota archaeon CG1_02_38_14, 2200 nucleotides long. Lineage: Archaea; Nanobdellati; Candidatus Aenigmatarchaeota. The record is from Rfam.
AUUCCGGUUGAUCCUGCCGGAGGAUACUGCUAUCCGGAUUCGACUAAGCCAUGCGAGCUGAGAGUCUUCGGGACUCGGCAUACUGCUCAGUAAUAUAUAGUUAACCUAACCUAAGGUCAGGAAUAAUUUCGGGAAACUGAAGCUAAUACCUGAUAGACAUUCUGGUCUGGAAUGAUAGAAUAUCUAAAGGUCCGCCGCCUUAGGAUGGGACUAUAACCUAUCAACCUGUUGGGGGUGUAAAGUACUCCCAAAGUUAUAACGGGUACGGGCCAUGAGAGUGGAAGCCCGGAGAUGGAUUCUGAGACAUGAAUCCAGGACCUACGGGUCGCAGCAGGCGCGAAACCUUCACUAUGCAUUAACGUGCGAUGAGGGAAUCUGGAGUGCUUAUGCUUUGCAUAAGCUUUUGUUAAGUUGAAAAAGCUUGGCGAAUAAGGGGUGGGCAAGACAGGUGCCAGCCGCCAUUCUAUAGAGUUAAUAACUCUUGGAACGGUAAGCGGUAAUACCUGCGCCCCUAGUGGUAUCCGGUUUUAGUUGGUCUAAAGCAUCCGUAGCCGGUUUUGUUAGUCCCUAGUGAAAUCUAUUGGGAAACUGGUAGGCUUGCUGGGGAUACUGCAAGGCUUGGGACUGGGAGAGGGUAGAGGUACUGCUGGGGAAGGGGUAAAAUCCUAUAAUCCCAGUGGGACCACCUGUGGCGUAACUUAUUCAAAUUUGUUACAUAGAAGGCGUCUACCUAGAACAGGUCCGACGGUGAGGGAUGAAACCUAGGGGAGCGAUCGGGAUUAGAUACCCCGGUAGUCCUAGGCGUAAACGAUGCCCACUUGGUGUUACAAACCUUACGAGGGUUUGUAAUGCCGGAGCGUAGGUGUUAAGUGGGUCACCUGGGGAGUACGACCGCAAGGUUGAAACUUAAGGGAAAGAGAAGAAGCCCGAAACUACACUUAAAUAUAAUAAGACUCAAUAACAUUCUAUGAACGCAAAUAUAGGCUAUCUACUUGGAGCUAUGAGAGAUGCUACAGUUGAUUUUAGAAAAGGCAAAAACUAUGAAGUUAAGAUAUCCCAGAAAAACAAGCAAUGGUUACAAUUGAUUCAGAGUAUUUUUAACAAAGAAUUUGGAAAAGAAGGUCGAAUAACACGACAUAUGAAAGGUUAUUGGAUAUUAAGAAUAAAUGAUAAGCAACUAGUUACAAAAAUUAUAGAGAUUUCUGGGAUAAAGAUUCCUCAAGAAAAUUGGGGUACUCCAGAAGACAUAAGAAAUUGCAGUGAUAAGGAAACGAUAACAAGUUAUAUAAGAGGGUUUUUCGAUGCGGAAGGAGGUCUUCCAAGAAAAAUAGAUAUUGAUUCUCAGAAAUAUAUAAUUUUUAGCCAGAAAAACAAGGAGUCACUUGAAUUCAUUAGAAAAAAAUUACAAGAAAUUAAAAUAGAACCCACUAAUUUAACAAGAUGUGGUGGAGUAUGGGAAUUCAGAAUUACAAAAAAGAAAUGUAUUAUAGAGUUUAUAGAAGUUAUCGGAAGUUUUCAUCAAGACAAAGUUGAAAAAUUUAAAAUUUUAAUGGGUAUUCUUCUCCCCUAAUUGGCGGGGGAGCACAUAAGGAGUGGAGGCUGCGGUUCAAUUGGAUCCAACGCCGGAAAUCUCACGGGGAUCGACAGCAGGAUGAGGGUCACUCUAAAGGGGUUACCAGACAAGCUGAGAAGUGUUGCAUGGCCAUCGUCAGCUCGUACUGUGAAGCGUGCGGUUAAGUCCGUUAACGAGCGAGAUCGACAUCCUAUGUUGCUAACUCGAAAGAGUGCACUCAUAGGAGACCGCUAGUGAUAAACUAGAGGAAGGUGUCGGCAACGGUAGGUCAGUAUGGCCUGAAUUUCCCCGGCUACACGCGGCCUACAAUGUAUGAGACAAUGGGUUGCAACUCCGAAAGGAGAAGCCAAUCUCCUAAACUCAUACUAGGUACGGAUCGAGGGUUGUAACUCACCCUCGUGAAGCUGGAAUUCCUAGUAGACAAACGUCAUUAAAUCAGAGAAUAAAAAUGAACUCUGAUGUGGAGUCGUUCGUCGAAUAUGUCCCUGCUUCUUGCACACACCGCCCGUCAAGCCAUCCGAGUGGAGUCCAAAUGAGGCGCUCUCUUGUUGGGAAUGUCGAAUUUGGGUUUCGCGAGGGGGGCUAAGUCGCAACAUGAAAGUUCAGUCGUGUGCUGGCUUUCUUGCA